RNAcentral lists this transfer RNA (75 nucleotides) under Pythium insidiosum. Its description in RNAcentral is "tRNA-His". It matches the Rfam family "tRNA". From Rfam's summary of the family: Transfer RNA (tRNA) molecules are approximately 80 nucleotides in length. Their secondary structure includes four short double-helical elements and three loops (D, anti-codon, and T loops). The record is from RNAcentral. Lineage: Eukaryota; Oomycota; Peronosporomycetes; Pythiales; Pythiaceae.
GCUCCUGUAGCUCAGUCGGCUAGAGCGGUGUCUUAUGAAGCCGCAUGUCGGAGGGUUCGAGCCCCUCCAGGAGCA